This 338-nucleotide unclassified non-coding RNA is filed under the name soil metagenome. RNAcentral's name for it is "partial contains 5.8S ribosomal RNA, internal transcribed spacer 2, and large subunit ribosomal RNA". The stretch from base 1 to 120 matches the Rfam family "5.8S ribosomal RNA", at positions 35 to 154 of the family's 154-position model. The record is from RNAcentral.
GAUGAAGAACGCAGCGAAAUGCGAUACGUAAUGUGAAUUGCAGAAUUCAGUGAAUCAUCGAAUCUUUGAACGCACAUUGCGCCCGCCAGCAUUCUGGCGGGCAUGCCUGUUCGAGCGUCAUUUCAACCCUCAAGCUCUGCUUGGUGUUGGGGCCCUACGGUUGACGUAGGCCCUUAAAGGUAGUGGCGGACCCUCUCGGAGCCUCCUUUGCGUAGUAACUAACGUCUCGCAUUGGGAUUCGGAGGGACUCUUGCCGUAAAACCCCCAAAUUUUCUAAUGGUUGACCUCGGAUCAGGUAGGAAUACCCGCUGAACUUAAGCAUAUCAAUAAGCGGAGGA